Dama dama (fallow deer) is the source of this 1448-nucleotide long non-coding RNA. RefSeq lists it as uncharacterized. The record is from RefSeq and is a predicted model, not a curated record. The transcript has 4 exons. NCBI's taxonomy places the organism in Eukaryota, Metazoa, Chordata, Mammalia, Artiodactyla, Cervidae.
CUCCCUGAGUUCAGACCUUGUAGGGUCGGCCAACUGGGUAAAACCAAGAAAGAAGCCUUGGGUUUUCUGUGCAGAUCCCACAAGGCCUCCGGAAUCCGCCAAGUUUCCCAAGAGGUCUUCAAAUCCCUGUCCCGGUGCCCCCAGAGGGGUGCGGCUGCCUCAGAAGCCACCACGGAACGUGAAACAGACCUGAGCUGGCAGCUGUGGCCUGUUUCAGCCCCAGCAGUGGGCAUGGCUACCAUCUGUAGUGUCUGGGGUGAGAUUUCACUUGAACAAAGGCUUCUGCUGCCAAAAAACAAAAAAGUUGGAAGCCACAGUAUACUGGAGAGAAAAUGGAAUUUGGAGUCAGACCGAGCUCUUUGACUUGCACUGUGUGACCUCAGAUUCCAAGUUCCUGGAUGCCAAGAGACUUGUGUUCCAUUUCUCGAUGCCCCUGCCCCGAGUGCCUCACACAGUGCCACAUUAUCCAGGAGGGGCUGCUGACUGACUGGCACCUUUUUCCUGAAAGGCAGCCUUUGCAACUAUUUUCCAGAACCCAGGGCCUUACUGCAAUCAUCUUAGUUCAUUCUAAGGAAGUUUUCUCUUUGCAUCUGACUAAAUGGCACACUGGAGGACAGAAAAAAAUAAGGGAUUUUUAUACAGCAGAUGAAAAGGAAAAAAGAAAACUUGAUGGAAAGGGUGAGCCUCCAUGCUGACUAGCUCCUUUGGGGCUCAUCGACUUGUUAAUGAACGACCUGCUAUGCUGUGCUUAGUCGUGUCCGACUCUGCAAUCCCGUGGACUGGAGCACCAGGCUCCUCUGUCCAUGGGGAUUCUCCAGGCAGAAGAAUCACUGAAGUGCAAAAAUUGUGCUGACGUCCACAGGAGCACCGAGGCGGGCAGAAGAGGCGAUGCCAUUCUCACCCCAAGCCUGUUGAGCAGUGUUAUUAAAUAUGAACUCCAAACACUGGGGAAGCUAAUGAGCCAUGAACACCAGUGCAUGUCAAGACCUAUACUACAACACAGAGGAGGUUCAAUCUGAGCAAUGUGAACGGCACUCACUCUUCCUUUAUUCUUGCCUUCUCUAGACACAGCCCAGGCCUCAGCAUUGCUCUAGCAACAAGGCAGCUCACGGCAGAGUUUCCAUGGAGGCUCAGAUCCACACAGGUGAAAAACAGCUCAGGUCAGCUUGACAUGGAGGGAAGCCCAGACCAUCUGCUCACCUACCAGCUUGUGCCAACCACAGAGCACUGGGUUGAAAUGUUUAUUUUUAAGCCCUUCCUCUCUAUUUUCUGCCCUGGACUCUUAUCCCUACUUCCUUCAAACUCUGGAAUGCCACAGGCUUUCUACAAAAUGAAUUUCUAGCUAUUUUCAUAGGGAGAACAUGGAGGGCCACGCCUCCCCCCUCCCCCCAUAGCUCUUGCUGGAUCUUAGUUUCCACUUGGCAGAGAGGACUGGGCUUAGCCUAUUU